Octodon degus (degu) is the source of this 104-nucleotide small nuclear RNA. NCBI's taxonomy places the organism in Eukaryota, Metazoa, Chordata, Mammalia, Rodentia, Octodontidae. The record is from Ensembl.
GUGCUUGCUUUGGCAGAACGUAUGGUAAAAUUAGAACAGUGGAGAGAUUGGCAUGACCUCUGCAUAAGGAUGACAUGCAGAUUCACAAAGUACUUCUUUUUUUU